Molecule: long non-coding RNA, 2383 nt
Organism: Oncorhynchus nerka (sockeye salmon)
Lineage: Eukaryota; Metazoa; Chordata; Actinopteri; Salmoniformes; Salmonidae
Exons: 3
Source: RefSeq, a predicted model, not a curated record
AGUGAAUAAUGUGAAACAGAGACGAGGUUCUAUAAAAUAACUGCUUCCCUAGAGUCUCGUCUGAAUAGCAAACCAAAAUCAUCUACUUUUAGGAGACUUGUGGGUGAGUGAGAUUGGUCAUAUGGGUGGUGGUUGGUGAGGAUGUUACUGUUCUAAAUGACUUUUAAAUAGAUUAACAUCUGAAUGUCUAUUCACUCUUUACAGUAUGGCUGUUCCGCUUCUUUGUAUAACAGCUGGCUCUUUCACGCAAUACACAAUAUUAUGUAAUGUAUACACACACACAGAGAUCCAUUCAGUCGUACACACAUUCAUACAGGCUAGUGUCUCUUGGAGGAAUACUAGUCAAGACACCUCCAUAACACACAAAGCAAGACUACCUCGGAUGGAAACCCAGUCUCCACAGCUUUCAAAGAGGGGGGAAAGAGGCAGUCUCACCAAGGGAGGGGAGAGUAAGAGACAGACAGUGAGAGAGACAGAGAGAGCGAGAGAGAAAGAGAGCGAGAAAGAGCUCAUGAAGCAACAGAGUCUUUCCAGAGGAGGAGUGAAGGAAGAAGAAAAUGACCCACAGCAGAAGGAGGAGAUGAUGAACUAGCCUAUAUUAAUACAACAGGCAGAGAGCACAAAAACACAGCAGGAGUCCUGUGUAAGUGGAGAUAAACAGCGUUGCUAUUGCACAACCGCUGCCUUUUCCACUGGCACCAAGAGAUGACAACAGCUACUACUAACUGGGAGAGAAGCAAGAAUAAAAGGAGAGAGUAAGAGUGGAGCGAGAGACGGUGGAAAGCAAACCAAUGACAGCUGGAGAAAAAGCUCAAAUGGAGCCCGACCCAGAACAGACUGUACAGAGGACAGCAGUGCAGCGGGUGGGGUUUUGGUCAUCUCUUGGCUUCGAUGCUAAUCGCUACUUGAGGACUUAUCUCUACUAACCCUAAUCCUGAAAAGACCGCUGGGUCGAGGAGGCGAAGUCAUCACCUCUGUGUCACUGCUGGCUCCAACUCACAGGGAACUCGCUCUCCACACUCACUCAGCAAAGUGGUCACAUCACACAACCUGCACCCAGAUACUACAGAGUUGCACCCCCCCCCCCAGUGUGAGGGACAUGAUGGAUGCCAGGGAGGAGAUGCUGACCCUGCUACAGAAGCUCUGGGCCAAACUGCAGGGUCUCCCCACCGCCAGCCCUCUGGAGAUGGGGGCCUUCGCUGUCCUCGUCCUCUUUAUCGUGGUCUUCCUGCUCAUGCUGCUGAUGACCUGUUUGACGUGCUGCUGCUGUCACAGAACCAGAACCAAGGGCCCACAUAGUCAGCUAACCUGAGACAAUCCCCACUUCCCCCAAUAAUGAGGAGAGACAUUAUAAACAGGCACUCUAUGGAGUGCCACUGUAUCACCAGGAGAGACAUUCUGGAGAGACAUUCUGGAGAGGCACUCUAUGGGCCUCUUAACCCCGGAGGAAUGAUGAGGACCCGUGGGGAGGGUGUGGAGCCCAUCUAUAAAGGAGCCCGGCCCUUGAACAACACACCUCCAUACAAAACACACACAGAGCCUCCCUGAGAAGCAGUCAAACAGGCCCGGCUUUCAGGAGUAUCAACAUUCCAUGGGGCAUCCCUGGGCUCUGCUGGCUAACAAAGCAGUCUUUGACGUGAGAGAUGGACAAGACUAGACCUCUAGGACGGCUUCAACUGAUCCACACAACACAAAGAACACAGGAGCAUGGAAACACACACACACACACACACACACACACACACACACACACACACACACAAAAGAUCCCAAUAGAAGCACAGGAGAUUGCUUGGGGAGAUGAAUGUCUGUCAGUUCUAGGAUGUAUGGGUGUCAACUCAACCUCUGCCACUGGCUCAUAGACUCUAAGAAAGAGCCCUCUGCAGUUUCCAUCAACAACUCACUUAAAUGGAGGCAUCUUGCCAAACCCCUUGUAAGAGUGUUGCCAUAUGUCUUCUAUCUAAAGGACUUCCUUUGCUUUAUUUCCUUGUUCAAGUGCAAGAUGGAACAAGGAAACACAGAAAUGUCCGACUUGCUAACUGGUUGACCGCGGCACGUGUAUAACUACAACAGUUAGCAAGUCGAAAAAGUCUGUUUCCUAGUUCCGACUAGCACGUGAACACAGCAUUAGUUCAGCAAAAACAAGCCAUUAUCUCAUUCCUCAGGCGAUUCAGAGGACCAUGCCUGCCCUCUGCUGCCUUGUAAUAUGCUUCACAGUUACACACAAAAACAGAAAAAGAGUAAUGCUGUCAUUUCCAUAUAGUUGUUGCAUAGGUUAAAAAGGGCAUCUCUUCCUUCUGAAAAAGCAUUUUCUUAGCCUGCCUAAAAUAGUGCAUUACGCGUUUGUAUCUCUCUUACAUGAAAUAAAACAAAAUGCAGAUGA